AACGAACGCUGGCGGCAUGCCUAACACAUGCAAGUCGAACGAGACCUUCGGGUCUAGUGGCGCACGGGUGCGUAACGCGUGGGAACCUGCCCUUAGGUUCGGAAUAACUCCCCGAAGGGGUGCUAAUACCGGAUAAUGUCUUCGGACCAAAGAUUUAUCGCCUUUGGAUGGGCCUGCGUUGGAUUAGCUAGUUGGUAGGGUAAAAGCCUACCAAGGCGACGAUCCAUAGCUGGUCUGAGAGGAUGAUCAGCCACACUGGGACUGAGACACGGCCCAGACUCCUACGGGAGGCAGCAGUGGGGAAUAUUGGACAAUGGGCGAAAGCCUGAUCCAGCAAUGCCGCGUGAGUGAUGAAGGACUUAGGGUUGUAAAGCUCUUUUACCCGGGAUGAUAAUGACAGUACCGGGAGAAUAAGCUCCGGCUAACUCCGUG
This 432-nucleotide ribosomal RNA is filed under the name uncultured bacterium. Its description in RNAcentral is "partial 16S ribosomal RNA". It matches the Rfam family "Bacterial small subunit ribosomal RNA", at positions 29 to 507 of the family's 1533-position model. The record is from RNAcentral.